AUCGCUUCUCGCCUUUUGGCUCAGAUCGAGGAAGUAUCUGUUCUUAUCAGUUUAUUAUAUCGAUACCGUCCCCCAUCGGGGACUACAUAUUAAAAUGGAUUUUUCGAACAGGGAGUCGGAAAUGGGCUUGCCGUCCCGCUCCACGCAUCGACCCGGUAUUGCAGUACCUCCGGAACGGUGCAACACUU
RNAcentral lists this small nuclear RNA (188 nucleotides) under Salmo salar (Atlantic salmon). RNAcentral describes it as "U2 spliceosomal RNA (ENSSSAG00000083830.1)". It matches the Rfam family "U2 spliceosomal RNA". From Rfam's summary of the family: U2 is a small nuclear RNA (snRNA) component of the spliceosome (involved in pre-mRNA splicing). Complementary binding between U2 snRNA (in an area lying towards the 5' end but 3' to hairpin I) and the branchpoint sequence (BPS) of the intron results the bulging out of an unpaired adenosine, on the BPS, which initiates a nucleophilic attack at the intronic 5' splice site, thus starting the first of two transesterification reactions that mediate splicing. Lineage: Eukaryota; Metazoa; Chordata; Actinopteri; Salmoniformes; Salmonidae. The record is from RNAcentral.